Small nucleolar RNA from Manihot esculenta (cassava), 87 nucleotides. RefSeq annotates it as small nucleolar RNA Z122. The transcript has a single exon. NCBI's taxonomy places the organism in Eukaryota, Viridiplantae, Streptophyta, Magnoliopsida, Malpighiales, Euphorbiaceae. The record is from RefSeq and is a predicted model, not a curated record.
GUUGGGAGAUGAUGAGAAAAUUCAGACACAUCAUCUGAGGCAUCAGCUCUGCUGAGAACCUAUUUUGCACGUCAGUCUGAUCCCAAA